CUCCAGCACUUUCCAAAGGAGGGUUUGCCUAAUUCCCUUUGCAUGCUACAGAUUAUGGGCUGUCCCUUGCUCAAAAAGAAGAUCCAAAGACAAAAUGGAAAAUAUUGGGCAAUUAUUUCUCAUAUCCCUUUUUGUAGCAUUGAUGAUGAUGGAGUAGCAUUUUAAGCGACCUUCUCACUCAUGAAGGCAUCAGUUUUCCCACUAAUGCUAUCCAUUCCGCAUUCACUCGUUAGAUACUCUUCAAAGGCUUCUUCAUUGAGAAUUCUAGCACUUUAAGGUGGGCUCAUUGCGAGAGCAGCAAGCCAGGCCGUUCUACUCAUAGUGAAAGGUGGGUUCUUCAUUCAACAGAAGAAUAUGUAGAGGACAUAAUUGCUCAAACUGGACUCAAGAAGCCAUCAGACACAACACUGAAAAAAGUGGCUAAUGAGCUUUUCCAAGAAUCUCAAAGCACAAGACUCGACAUAUCUC
Molecule: long non-coding RNA, 468 nt
Organism: Neltuma alba
Lineage: Eukaryota; Viridiplantae; Streptophyta; Magnoliopsida; Fabales; Fabaceae
Exons: 3
Source: RefSeq, a predicted model, not a curated record